This 1396-nucleotide ribosomal RNA is filed under the name Pseudomonas sp. 'CIFT MFB 4537(10)'. RNAcentral describes it as "bacterial SSU rRNA". It matches the Rfam family "Bacterial small subunit ribosomal RNA". The record is from RNAcentral. Lineage: Bacteria; Pseudomonadati; Pseudomonadota; Gammaproteobacteria; Pseudomonadales; Pseudomonadaceae.
GCUUGCUUCUCUUGAGAGCGGCGGACGGGUGAGUAAUGCCUAGGAAUCUGCCUGGUAGUGGGGGAUAACGUUCGGAAACGGACGCUAAUACCGCAUACGUCCUACGGGAGAAAGCAGGGGACCUUCGGGCCUUGCGCUAUCAGAUGAGCCUAGGUCGGAUUAGCUAGUUGGUGAGGUAAUGGCUCACCAAGGCGACGAUCCGUAACUGGUCUGAGAGGAUGAUCAGUCACACUGGAACUGAGACACGGUCCAGACUCCUACGGGAGGCAGCAGUGGGGAAUAUUGGACAAUGGGCGAAAGCCUGAUCCAGCCAUGCCGCGUGUGUGAAGAAGGUCUUCGGAUUGUAAAGCACUUUAAGUUGGGAGGAAGGGUUGUAGAUUAAUACUCUGCAAUUUUGACGUUACCGACAGAAUAAGCACCGGCUAACUCUGUGCCAGCAGCCGCGGUAAUACAGAGGGUGCAAGCGUUAAUCGGAAUUACUGGGCGUAAAGCGCGCGUAGGUGGUUUGUUAAGUUGGAUGUGAAAUCCCCGGGCUCAACCUGGGAACUGCAUUCAAAACUGACUGACUAGAGUAUGGUAGAGGGUGGUGGAAUUUCCUGUGUAGCGGUGAAAUGCGUAGAUAUAGGAAGGAACACCAGUGGCGAAGGCGACCACCUGGACUAAUACUGACACUGAGGUGCGAAAGCGUGGGGAGCAAACAGGGAUUAGAUACCCUGGUAGUCCACGCCGUAACGAUGUCAACUAGCCGUUUGGAAGCCUUGAGCUUUAGUGGCGCAGCUUAACGCAUUAAGUUGACCGCCUGGGGAGUACGGCCGCAAGGUUAAAACUCAAAUGAAUUGACGGGGGCCCGCACAAGCGGUGGAGCAUGUGGUUUAAUUCGAAGCAACGCGAAGAACCUUACCAGGCCUUGACAUCCAAUGAACUUUCUAGAGAUAGAUUGGUGCCUUCGGGAACAUUGAGACAGGUGCUGCAUGGCUGUCGUCAGCUCGUGUCGUGAGAUGUUGGGUUAAGUCCCGUAACGAGCGCAACCCUUGUCCUUAGUUACCAGCACGUUAUGGUGGGCACUCUAAGGAGACUGCCGGUGACAAACCGGAGGAAGGUGGGGAUGACGUCAAGUCAUCAUGGCCCUUACGGCCUGGGCUACACACGUGCUACAAUGGUCGGUACAGAGGGUUGCCAAGCCGCGAGGUGGAGCUAAUCCCAUAAAACCGAUCGUAGUCCGGAUCGCAGUCUGCAACUCGACUGCGUGAAGUCGGAAUCGCUAGUAAUCGCGAAUCAGAAUGUCGCGGUGAAUACGUUCCCGGGCCUUGUACACACCGCCCGUCACACCAUGGGAGUGGGUUGCACCAGAAGUAGCUAGUCUAACCUUCGGGAGGACGGUUAACCACGGUGUGAU